AACGAACGCUGGCGGCGUGCUUAACACAUGCAAGUCGAACGCGAACGGCGCCUUCGGGUGCUUAGUAGAGUGGCGCACGGGUGAGUAACGCGUAAGUAAUCUACCUUGGCAUCCGGGAUAACCCACCGAAAGGUGUGCUAAUACUGGAUACGACUGGGAUAAUGACUUUUUUCCAGGGAAAGGCAGCCUCUGAAUGUAAGCUGUCGUGCGAAGAUGAGCUUGCGUACCAUUAGCUAGUUGGUAGGGUAAGGGCCUACCAAGGCGACGAUGGUUAGCGGGUCUGAGAGGAUGAUCCGCCACACUGGAACUGGAACACGGACCAGACUCCUACGGGAGGCAGCAGUGAGGAAUAUUGCGCAAUGGGGGCAACCCUGACGCAGCGACGCCGCGUGGAUGAUGAAGGCCUUCGGGUUGUAAAAUCCUGUCAGAUGGGAAGAAGUGUAGCGUGGUUAAGAGCUGCGCUAUUUGACGGUACCAUCAAAGGAAGCACCGGCUAACUCCGUG
RNAcentral lists this ribosomal RNA (504 nucleotides) under uncultured organism. RNAcentral's name for it is "bacterial SSU rRNA". It matches the Rfam family "Bacterial small subunit ribosomal RNA", at positions 29 to 507 of the family's 1533-position model. The record is from RNAcentral.